AAUUGAUUUUUGAAAAUUCAAAUAUCUGCGAUCCUCUCCCUUCCUUGCAUAUCCGCCCCCCUUCAUUCCCUGCACAACUCUCACCCAUCCAACCCCCUUCUCUGAACCCCUUCCGUGAAUCCCCUUUUUUGCAGUGUUUUAAAUUCUCUUCGAUGUGUAAGUCUUGGGAAUCCUCACUGAUUCCUGAGUUCUAAGAUUUGAAAACUCUCCAUGCAUUGUCUGAGAUAGAAGAAGCGGUGGUGUCUCAAUACUGAGGCAACAAUUCGUCUUUCCCUAUUUCUCCUCCGACCACAGCCGAGCAGGAGUCUACUGUUUUAAUCGUAGGUGCGUCCGGCUCCAUUGUAAGAGGAUAUUUAUAGCCGCAAGGAGUUUUCUCUCCCGCUCUCACAAAGAAGCCCUAAUUUUCUCCUCCGACCACAGCCGAGCAAGAGUCUUCACUGCAUCAGUCCUAGGUGCGUCUAACUCUACUGCAAAAUCUCUUUGUAGUCACUGAGGAAGCCACCGGUAUUUCACUGUUCCCGUCCUUUCUCUCUGAUUUCUUGCCUUGCUAUGAUAUAUUCGAAUGACUUUGUGAUGCUUUUCCUGUUGAACAUAGUUCGCCCAUCUUUGCUGAUUUUGUAGCUUGCGGCAUUAACUACUGGAUCAAAGAUUAAAAUGUGGUACUAUAGUGAUUUCAUGGUAUCUUACUAAAUUUAGUAUUUUUCUCACAUCUUUUUCCUUUUUCUUUUUCUUUUUGCAAAUCAGGUCGUGACGGUGGAGAACUGCUGGACAUAAAUUUAUACAGAUAGGUGGAAGAUGCACAGAGGAAGACACAAAUUCUUUUUGUCCAAACAUACUUUGUUAUCUCAUUCGAAAACCUGUGGAACAAGAGAAUAUAGGUGUGACUGUGGAACCCUUUUCUCCAGGGAAGUUUCUGCAUUCACUCGGACAAAUUGUCCUAUCCGAGUGUGGAUCAGUUCAUUCUCUUCAGAGAUGACUUGGUUGAUGUUAUUGUCCCUUUCAUGGGUGAAUCUAUCACGGAUGGCACAUUGGCAAAGUUUUUGAAGAGAACCUAUGUUGGGUGCAGAACCUGGUGAUACUGUACAAAUUGAUGAUCCAAUCGCUCAAGUUGAAACUGAUAAGGUUGACCAUUGAUGUUGCCAGUCCUGAAGCGGUAGUUAUUCAGAAGACAAGAUUCUGAGUGUGGUGUUGUUCGUGUCUAUUGAAUGGUUGGUAGUUUGUAGCCAAUGAAGGAAACACUGUGGAACCAGGAACCAAAAUUCCAGUCAUUUCAAAGAAUGGUGAAGGUAUUACACAGGCUGCUCCAUCUGAGGAGGAGAAACAGAAAAAGAGGCUCCUCAGCCAUCUCAUCCUGCAGAAAAGGAUAGUACUGAUAAGCAAAAGCCGAAAGCAGAAUUUGCUUCUGUGAAGGAUGAACCUAAAGCACCAUCCCCACCACCAACCAAGGCCUCAGCUACAGAACCUUAGCUUCCUCCCAAGGAAAGGGAAAGACGAGUGAGUCUCAUGUCUUAUUUACCCAAAUAUAUUCAUUGCUAAGUUUCAUAUUGAACUUUAUGACCUAUGAUUAUGAGGAUUCUAUGAUAAAGAAAUAGUUUCUGCUGCCUCCAUAAUAGUUUUGGAACUUCAUCAUGAUUGGAGGUUCCUAUGACAAGCGAAGGAGUAUAUUCCAGAUCUCUAUCUACUGACAUACAACAUAUGCAGCUUUUGGAAUCUCUAUACGCUGCUGAAGGCUCUGAAGUAUUGGAUCGUCUGAGCAGCAAACAAUUGUUUUUUAAGAACAUAGACUAUGCAAUUGACAUCUUUCUGAUAUAUGUUCUGACACUGUUAAUCUUCCCUGGGUUUUUGUCUAAAGAUACUGGGUCUCAUAGUCUGGGUUAUGGUAAGCCCUCCCUUACUUACAGACAAUGAAAUAAACAGGUUCAGAAACUUUUUGUACUUGGGAUUAGUCCACUGGUUGUUUAUUUAUUUAGCUCACUGUUUUUUCAACAAUUCAAUACUGGGAAUUACAUUUACUCAGAAACUCCCAAAA
This is a long non-coding RNA of Macadamia integrifolia, 2029 nucleotides long. RefSeq lists it as uncharacterized. The record is from RefSeq and is a predicted model, not a curated record. The transcript is spliced from 8 exons. NCBI's taxonomy places the organism in Eukaryota, Viridiplantae, Streptophyta, Magnoliopsida, Proteales, Proteaceae.